Molecule: ribosomal RNA, 237 nt
Filed under: uncultured bacterium
Lineage: Bacteria
Description: partial 16S ribosomal RNA
Rfam family: Bacterial small subunit ribosomal RNA
Source: RNAcentral
GAUCCUGCUCAGGAUGAACGCUAGCUACAGGCUUAACACAUGCAAGUCGAGGGGCAGCAUCAUCAAAGCUUGCUUUGAUGGAUGGCGACCGGCGUACGGGUGAGUAACACGUAUCCAACCUGCCGACAACACUGGGAUAGCCUUUCGAAAGAAAGAUUAAUACCGGAUGGCAUAAUUAUUCCGCAUGGGAUAAUUAUUAAAGAAUUUCGGUUGUCGAUGGGGAUGCGUUCCAUUAGG